CAGAGUUGCAAAACUCCCAACCCUUUGUGAACGAACUAAACAGUUGCCUCGGCGGCGUGCCUCUCAGGGGGCUUGCCGCCGGAGGAAUGCAAACUCUAUAUUUUGAAUCUCUGAGUACUUAUUUAAUAAGUUA
This 133-nucleotide unclassified non-coding RNA is filed under the name uncultured Ascomycota. Its description in RNAcentral is "sequence contains ITS1". Lineage: Eukaryota; Fungi; Ascomycota. The record is from RNAcentral.